UGUGGGCCCUAACAGCACUAAUGUGUGUCUU
This 31-nucleotide non-coding RNA is filed under the name Rattus norvegicus (Norway rat). Lineage: Eukaryota; Metazoa; Chordata; Mammalia; Rodentia; Muridae. The record is from RNAcentral.